This 70-nucleotide transfer RNA is filed under the name Anomaloglossus sp. 'Bakhuis'. RNAcentral describes it as "tRNA-Val". It matches the Rfam family "tRNA". Rfam says of the family: Transfer RNA (tRNA) molecules are approximately 80 nucleotides in length. Their secondary structure includes four short double-helical elements and three loops (D, anti-codon, and T loops). The record is from RNAcentral. Lineage: Eukaryota; Metazoa; Chordata; Amphibia; Anura; Aromobatidae.
CAGAACAUAACUUAACUUAAAGUAUUUCGCUUACACCGAGACGAUAUUUGUGUAAAUCAAAUUGUUCUGA